Molecule: ribosomal RNA, 561 nt
Filed under: Bagre marinus (gafftopsail sea catfish)
Lineage: Eukaryota; Metazoa; Chordata; Actinopteri; Siluriformes; Ariidae
Description: partial 16S ribosomal RNA
Rfam family: Bacterial large subunit ribosomal RNA
Source: RNAcentral
CCUCCUGCAAAAAUCAAUAUAUAGGAGGUCUCACCUGCCCAGUGACAAUUUAAACGGCCGCGGUAUUUUGACCGUGCGAAGGUAGCGCAAUCACUUGUCUCUUAAAUGAAGACCUGUAUGAAUGGUAGAACGAGGGCUUAACUGUCUCCCUUUUUAAGUCAAUGAAAUUGAUCUGCCCGUGCAGAAGCGGACAUAAUAAUACAAGACGAGAAGACCCUUUGGAGCUUAAGGCUCCAGAUCAACUAUGUCAAGAACUUUAACCAAGUUAAACCAAAUAACACCUGAUCCUAGCCUUUAGUUGGGGCGACCGUGGGAGAAAACAAAGCUCCCAUGAGGACUGGACCCACCUCCAGAACCAAGAAAGACAUUUCUAAGUCACAGAACCUCUGACCAUAAUGAUCCGGCCACCAGCCGAUCAACGAACCAAGUUACCCUAGGGAUAACAGCGCAAUCCCCUUUCAGAGUCCAUAUCGACAAGGGGGUUUACGACCUCGAUGUUGGAUCAGGACAUCCUAAUGGUGCAGCCGCUAUUAAGGGUUCGUUUGUUCAACGAUUAAAGUC